CCCCUAGAUGUUCUGGGCCGCACGCGCGCUACACUGAACAGUUCAACAAGUCUUAACCUUGGCCGAUAGGUCUGGGUAAUCUUUGAACGCUGUUCGUGAUUGGGAUAGACCUUUGCAAUUAUGGGUCUUCAACGAGGAAUUCCUAGUAAACGCAAGUCAUCAGCUUGCAUUGAUUACGUUCCUGCCCUUUGUACACACCGCCCGUCGCACCUACCGAUUGAAUGGUCCGGUGAAAUCUCGGGACGGCGGCUUGGUCGCUUGCGUCCGACUGCUGAAACUUGAUUAAACCAUAUCAUUUAGAGGAAGGUGAAGUCGUANCA
This 320-nucleotide ribosomal RNA is filed under the name uncultured eukaryote. RNAcentral describes it as "partial 18S ribosomal RNA". It matches the Rfam family "Eukaryotic small subunit ribosomal RNA", at positions 1470 to 1796 of the family's 1831-position model. The record is from RNAcentral.